GACGAACGCUGGCGGCGUGCCUAAUACAUGCAAGUAGAACGCUGAAGGAGGAGCUUGCUUCUCUGGAUGAGUUGCGAACGGGUGAGUAACGCGUAGGUAACCUGCCUGGUAGCGGGGGAUAACUAUUGGAAACGAUAGCUAAUACCGCAUAAGAGUAGAUGUUGCAUGACAUUUGCUUAAAAGGUGCAAUUGCAUCACUACCAGAUGGACCUGCGUUGUAUUAGCUAGUUGGUGGGGUAACGGCUCACCAAGGCGACGAUACAUAGCCGACCUGAGAGGGUGAUCGGCCACACUGGGACUGAGACACGGCCCAGACUCCUACGGGAGGCAGCAGUAGGGAAUCUUCGGCAAUGGACGGAAGUCUGACCGAGCAACGCCGCGUGAGUGAAGAAGGUUUUCGGAUCGUAAAGCUCUGUUGUAAGAGAAGAACGAGUGUGAGAGGGAAAGUUCA
RNAcentral lists this ribosomal RNA (451 nucleotides) under Streptococcus mitis. Its description in RNAcentral is "bacterial SSU rRNA". It matches the Rfam family "Bacterial small subunit ribosomal RNA", at positions 28 to 466 of the family's 1533-position model. Lineage: Bacteria; Bacillati; Bacillota; Bacilli; Lactobacillales; Streptococcaceae. The record is from RNAcentral.